Molecule: microRNA precursor, 82 nt
Filed under: Notamacropus eugenii (tammar wallaby)
Lineage: Eukaryota; Metazoa; Chordata; Mammalia; Diprotodontia; Macropodidae
Description: miRNA (ENSMEUG00000017498.1)
Source: RNAcentral
AGUAGGUGCUGUAGAAAUGUUCAAUUUAUUAUUUGUUCCCCUUCCCUGCAGCCAUUGCUGCUGGACUCUGGGGUGUAGCUUG